This 253-nucleotide ribosomal RNA is filed under the name uncultured bacterium. RNAcentral's name for it is "partial 16S ribosomal RNA". It matches the Rfam family "Bacterial small subunit ribosomal RNA", at positions 524 to 776 of the family's 1533-position model. The record is from RNAcentral.
UACAGAGGGGGCAAGCGUUGUUCGGAAUUACUGGGCGUAAAGGGCGCGUAGGCGGCCUGUUAAGUCGAACGUGAAAUCCCCGGGCUCAACCCGGGAACUGCGUCCGAUACUGGCAGGCUUGAAUCCGGGAGAGGGAUGCGGAAUUCCAGGUGUAGCGGUGAAAUGCGUAGAUAUUGGGAAGAACACCGGUGGCGAAGGCGGCCAUCUGGACCGGAACUGACGCUGAGGCACGAAAGCGUGGGGAGCAAACAGG